GGGCCCGCACAAGCGGAGGAACAUGUGGUUUAAUUCGAUGAUACGCGAGGAACCUUACCUGGGCUUGAAAUGGAGAGGGAUGGUAUAGAAAUGUGCCAGGUCGCAAGACCCUCUUUGUAGGUGCUGCAUGGUUGUCGUCAGCUCGUGCCGUGAGGUGUCGGGUUAAGUCCCAUAACGAGCGCAACCCCUGCCGCCAGUUACCAACAGGAAAGCUGGGGACUCUGGCGGGACUGCCGCCGUAAGGUGUGAGGAAGGCGGGGAUGACGUCAAAUCAGCACGGCCCUUAUGUCCAGGGCUACACACGUGUUACAAUGGCCGGUACAGCAUGAAGCGAGCGGGCGACCGCAAGCGGAUCAAGAAAGCCGGUCCCAGUUCGGAUCGAAGUCUGCAACCCGACUUCGUGAAGCUGGAUUCGCUAGUAAUCGCGCAUCAGCCAUGGCG
Molecule: ribosomal RNA, 441 nt
Filed under: uncultured Bacteroidota bacterium
Lineage: Bacteria; Pseudomonadati; Bacteroidota
Description: bacterial SSU rRNA
Rfam family: Bacterial small subunit ribosomal RNA
Source: RNAcentral